UGGGGAAUUUUGCGCAAUGGGCGAGAGCCUGACGCAGCAACGCCGUGUGAGUGAUGAAGGCCUUCGGGUCGUAAAGCUCUGUCAGUUGGGAAGAAACGCAUGGAGGUCAAUACCCUUCGUACUUGACGGUACCUGGAGAGGAAGCCCCGGCUAACUCUGUGCCAGCAGCCGCGGUAAUACAGAGGGGGCAAGCGUUAUUCGGAAUUAUUGGGCGUAAAGGGCGCGUAGGCGGUGCUUUAAGUGAGAUGUGUAAUCCCCGAGCUUAACUUGGGAACUGCAUCUCAGACUGAAGCGCUAGAGUACUGGAGAGGGUGGUAGAAUUCCACGUGUAGCGGUGAAAUGCGUAGAGAUGUGGAGGAAUACCGGUGGCGAAGGCGGCCGCCUGGACAGUAACUGACGCUGAGGCGCGAAAGUGUGGGUAGCAAACA
This 428-nucleotide ribosomal RNA is filed under the name uncultured prokaryote. RNAcentral's name for it is "bacterial SSU rRNA". It matches the Rfam family "Bacterial small subunit ribosomal RNA", at positions 355 to 774 of the family's 1533-position model. The record is from RNAcentral.